RNAcentral lists this ribosomal RNA (603 nucleotides) under uncultured Phialocephala. Its description in RNAcentral is "eukaryotic LSU rRNA". The stretch from base 243 to 396 matches the Rfam family "5.8S ribosomal RNA". The record is from RNAcentral. Lineage: Eukaryota; Fungi; Ascomycota; Leotiomycetes; Helotiales.
CUUGGUCAUUUAGAGGAAGUAAAAGUCGUAACAAGGUUUCCGUAGGUGAACCCGCGGAAGGAUCAUCACAAGUGAGGCUACCGAACGUUGGAAACAGCGGUUAGGAGCUUACACCCACCCGUGUUUACAUACUAUUGUUGCUUUGGCGGGCCGUGGCCUCCACUGCGGGCUCUGCUCGUGUGUGCCCGCCAGAGAACCAAACUCUGAAUGUUAGUGAUGUCUGAGUACUAUCUAAUAGUUAAAACUUUCAACAACGGAUCUCUUGGUUCUGGCAUCGAUGAAGAACGCAGCGAAAUGCGAUAAGUAAUGUGAAUUGCAGAAUUCAGUGAAUCAUCGAAUCUUUGAACGCACAUUGCGCCCUGUGGUAUUCCGCAGGGCAUGCCUGUUCGAGCGUCAUUUAACCACUCACGCCUAGCGUGGUAUUGGGGCACGCGGUCUCCGCGGCCCUCAAAAUCAGUGGCGGCGCCGGUGGGCUCUAAGCGUAGUACAUACUCCCGCUAUAGAGUUCCCCCCGGUGGCUCGCCAGAACCCCCAAUUUUUUACAGGUUGACCUCGGAUCAGGUAGGGAUACCCGCUGAACUUAAGCAUAUCAAUAAGCGGAGG